Microtus ochrogaster (prairie vole) is the source of this 108-nucleotide microRNA precursor. Ensembl annotates it as microRNA 98. Its record names the gene Mir98. The record is from Ensembl. NCBI's taxonomy places the organism in Eukaryota, Metazoa, Chordata, Mammalia, Rodentia, Cricetidae.
CUGCACAUGCCAGGGUGAGGUAGUAAGUUGUAUUGUUGUGGGAUAGGGAUUUUAGAGCCCAAUAAGAAGAUAACUAUACAACUUACUACUUUCCUUGGUGUGGUGCAU